Non-coding RNA from Equus caballus (horse), 2492 nucleotides. The record is from RefSeq and is a predicted model, not a curated record. NCBI's taxonomy places the organism in Eukaryota, Metazoa, Chordata, Mammalia, Perissodactyla, Equidae.
CGUGGGGCGGGAGCGGGGAGCGGGGGCGAGGGGGGGCGCAGGUGCCUUUGCCAAGGCUCUGAAUGGCAGAGGCUUUUCAGUUUCACGUGAAGCUUGUGAUCUUUUUUUGUCUUGGUAGGAGAACGGGCAUUUUUAAGGAAUCAUUAUUUGUACAUAAAGAAAUAAAAGGUAAAUCCAACAGCCCAGAGACGCUUGCAUUUCAGUAGAAAUGGACUUUCUCGGGUUAAAAGGUGCUGAAAGAGAUCCCACUCAAUCACUCCUGAAUUUCCAGAAACAUAGGCAUUUGUCCAUGUCAAAAUUAUCCACUCAACGGGCAUCUCUUUGGCUCCACCCUCCAGUUUCAGAGUGCCCAAAUGGCAAAAGGCAGCCAGCUGGAUUGCCAAAUGCUCCUCCUCCACUCCUGGUCCUUCAUGUUCCUCUAAAGAAGACCUCCCAGUUCUCUUCUGCCUUGUUCGUGACCCAAAAGAGGCCUUUUAAUGGAAGUGUUCCUAGCAGACCUCCUCUUGGUCUUCUCCAUCAAUUACUAACUGUGACUCCUGCCGCUCCAUAGGAUAAAUGGCGAUAUUGGGUGAAUAGCUCAGAUACGUUUAUUGAUCUGAAUAUCAGGGUGUUAUCAAAGUCUACUGGAUUGUAUCACAGAUUUAGGGCUCUAAUUUAAUGACAUUUCUGAAAGAGCGAAAUACCCACAUCCCUGUCUCUCCCCGACAACUGGCAAAAACGGGGAACGCAGCUCUGAACACGAUCAAAUCAAGGGUGUCGACUCAGAGUGAGAUCGUACAGCUUCAAAAGUAAUGUCGAUCUGCUCGCAACUUCACGCAAACCCAGCAGAGCCCCCAGCAGGACCCCCACGUACCCGCCUCUCAAUCCGGAGUUCGGGACGGGGGAGCACCCCUACUCGGGUCCUUCCCGCCGGCCGCCCGGAAAGCCCGGAGCGCGGAAGCGGAGCGACCCUCGGCAGCCGCGGGACGGGCAUGCUCAGUAGGCCCGCAGGUCUGGUUUCACUCGGAAGCCAGCCGCGGACCCCGCCCCCUCCCGCCCCGCACGGGCGCCCGGAGAAGCGGACAUUUUAUCCUUCUCUGCCAUCCGCUCCCUCUUUCGUGUCCUUCGCCCCCUGUCUGAGUCCUUCCACCUCUCGCCCAUCGGGGUCUGGGGACAUUAACUUGAAGAAAAUCAGCUGUUUGCCAAGAAAGGAGGGCUUGGAUGAAAGAGGAUGGAAGGAGGCUUGUCUCACUUGCAGGAGGAGGAAACGCAGCAAUGCACAAAUAGUCUCUUGUCUAUCAAAGCCAGCUCCAAACAAUCAUCGUAAUGUCCAGACUUGGGGGAGAAGCAGGGGAGCCAGCGCCCGUUUGGUCAGCUCCUGAGUGUGCUGAGCGUAAAGGCUGGACACUCGACGUGGCUUUGCAGAGAGGACAGUUAACCUGACCCAGCCUUCACACGGGACUGCAUCUGCCACAGAUGAUCUAUUUCAGAUCUUGCCACUUUUCAAAUGCCAGCAAGGUAAGGAACAGAGACAACAUUUAUUCCAACACCUUUAUUUUUCUUCCCCCAAUUUUUAGUUCAAAUUUUUUCAAAGUACAAUAAAGUUGAAAGAAAAAGCAAUGAAAUCCAUGAGUUCUUCACCUAGAUUAACAGUUAUCAUUUGCUCUCUUUCUCUCUCCUCUUUUUUUCCUCUCUUACACAUUUGAGAUCAUCUAUUCUAUAUCCAUCUAUCUAUCUACCUACCUACAUAUACAUACAUGACGAACCUCUUGAAAGCAAAUUGCAGACAACUUGGUACUUCACCCUAAAUACUUUAUCAUGCAUUUCCAAAGAAUAAGGAUAUUUUCCUGCACAACACAAUCUCAUAAUCAUACCCACAAUAUUUAACAUUAGUGAAAUAGUAUUAUCUAAAAUAUAGUCCAAACUUUUCCAGUUGUUCUAAAAAUGUCUUUUAAAGCCCCCUGCCCAGUCCAAUCAAGGGUCAAGUACUGCAUUUUUGCAUUUGGUGGUUGUGUCUCUUUGGUUUCUUUUCAUUUAGAACAGUCCUCUCGCCUGAUUUUCUGUUGUUGUUGUUGCUUUUGUCUUUCAUGACACUGACAUUUUGAAAGAGUCCAGGCCAGUUGUCCUGUAGAAUGGCUCCAAUCUAGAUUUGUCAGAUCAUUUCCUUGUGAUCAGACACUCUGAAUAAACAUUCUCUGGCAAGAAUAUUACAUAGGACAUUUUGAGUAUUUCCCAUUGCAAAUCAUCAGGAUGUGUAUAACAUCAAUUUGUGGCAUUAUCAGUGAUGGUCAGUUUGACUGCUUGGUUCAGGCAGUGGCCAUCAGAUUUCUCUAUUGUAAAGGUACUUUUUACCCUUUGUAAUUUAUAAGGAAUAAAAGGAGGGUAAUACUUUGAGACUGGGAGAUAUCCUGUUCCCCAAAAAUCUUUCACCCAACGGUUUAGUAACUUUUUUUUUCUGCUUUAUCUCCCCAAAUCCCCCCUGGUAUAUAGUUGUAUAUCUUAGUUGCAGGUCC